AGUGGAUGGGGAGCAACCUAGUUGUGCGUGUGUAAAGGUAGUGCCAAGAAAAGCGAUGAUCAUGUUGAAAAUCAAUUCCCGGUACCCGAAACCGACACAGGUGGGCAAGUAGAGAAUACUAAGGGGCGCGAGGUAACUCUCUCCAAGGAACUCGGCAAAAUGACCCCGUAACUUAGGGAGAAGGGGUGCCACCGAGAGGUGGUCGCAGUGAAGAGGCCCAGGCGACUGUUUAGCAAAAACAUAGGUCUCCGCAAACUCGAAAGAGGAGGUAUAGGGGCUGACGCCUGCCCAGUGCCGGAAGGUUAAAGAAGUUGGUCAGUUUUAGGAUGAAGCUAGCGACUGAAGCCCCGGUGAACGGCGGCCGUAACUAUAACGGUCCUAAGGUAGCGAAAUUCCUUGUCGGGUAAGUUCCGACCCGCACGAAAGGCGUAACGAUCUGGGCGCUGUCUCGGAGAGAGGCUCGGCGAAAUAGGAUUGUCUGUGAAGAUACGGACUACCUGCAUUUGGACAGAAAGACCCUAUGAAGCUUUACUAUAGCUUGGAAUUGUGUUCGGGCUUCCUGUGCGCAGGAUAGGUGGGAGGCGUAGAAGGUAUUCUUGUGGGGAUACUGGAGCCAACGGUGAGAUACCACUCUCAGGAGGCUAGAAUUCUAACUUAAUUAAGGACAGUUUCAGGUGGGUAGUUUGACUGGGGCGGUCGCCUCCAAAAAGGUAACGGAGGCGUACAAAGGUUCCCUCAGACUGGUUGGAAAUCAGUCGAAGAGUGCAAAGGCAGAAGGGAGCUUGACUGCGAGAAGUACAGUUCGAGCAGGGUGGAAACACGGUCUUAGUGAUCCGACGGUGCUGUGUGGAAGGGCCGUCGCUCAACGGAUAAAAGUUACUCUAGGAUAACAGGCUGAUCUCCCCCAAGAGUUCACAUCGACGGGGAGGUUUGGCACCUCGAUGUCGGCUCAUCGCAACCUGGGGCGGAAGUACGUCCCAAGGGUUGGGCUGUUCGCCCAUUAAAGCGGUACGUGAGCUGGGUUCAGAACGUCGUGAGACAGUUCGGUCCAUAUCCGAUGUAGGCGUGAGAAUAUUGAGAGGAGCCUUCCUUAGUACGAGAGGACCGGGAAGGACGCACCGCUGGUGUACCUGUUAUGAUGCCAAUUGUAAACGCAGGGUAGCCAAGUGCGGAGAGGAUAACCGCUGAAAGCAUCUAAGUGGGAAGCCCACCUCAAGAUGAGUAUUCUGGUGUAAGGUCACGGGAAGACGACCCGUAAAUAGGCACGAGGUGGAAGUGCAGAGAUGUAUGAAGCCGAAGUGUACUAAUAGACCGUCGGCUUGACCU
RNAcentral lists this ribosomal RNA (1326 nucleotides) under metagenome. RNAcentral's name for it is "bacterial LSU rRNA". It matches the Rfam family "Bacterial large subunit ribosomal RNA", at positions 1561 to 2925 of the family's 2925-position model. The record is from RNAcentral.